RNAcentral lists this ribosomal RNA (483 nucleotides) under uncultured bacterium. Its description in RNAcentral is "partial 16S ribosomal RNA". It matches the Rfam family "Bacterial small subunit ribosomal RNA", at positions 30 to 507 of the family's 1533-position model. The record is from RNAcentral.
UUGCACGCUGGCGGCAGGCCUAACACAUGCAAGUCGAGCGGAUGAAGGGAGCUUGCUCCUGGAUUCAGCGGCGGACGGGUGAGUAAUGCCUAGGAAUCUGCCUGGUAGUGGGGGAUAACGUCCGGAAACGGGCGCUAAUACCGCAUACGUCCUGAGGGAGAAAGUGGGGGAUCUUCGGACCUCACGCUAUCAGAUGAGCCUAGGUCGGAUUAGCUAGUUGGUGGGGUAAAGGCCUACCAAGGCGACGAUCCGUAACUGGUCUGAGAGGAUGAUCAGUCACACUGGAACUGAGACACGGUCCAGACUCCUACGGGAGGCAGCAGUGGGGAAUAUUGGACAACGGGCGAAAGCCUGAUCCAGCCAUGCCGCGUGUGUGAAGAAGGUCUUCGGAUUGUAAAGCACUUUAAGUUGGGAGGAAGGGCAGUAAGUUAAUACCUUGCUGUUUUGACGUUACCAACAGAAUAAGCACCGGCUAACUUCGUG